CCUACGGGUGGCAGCAGUGAGGAAUAUUGGUCAAUGGACGAGAGUCUGAACCAGCCACGUAGCGUGAAGGAUGACUGCCCUAUGGGUUGUAAACUUCUUUUAUAUGGGAAUAAAAUGUUCCACGUGUGGGAUUUUGUAUGUACCAUAUGAAUAAGGAUCGGCUAACUCCGUGCCAUCAGCCGCGGUAAUACGGAGGAUCCGAGCGUUAUCCGGAUUUAUUGGGUUUAAAGGGAGCGUAGGUGGUUUGUUAAGUCAGUUGUGAAAGGUUGCGGCUCAACCGUCAAAUUGCAGUUGAAACUGGCAGUCUGGAGUACAGGAGAGGUGGGCGGAAUUCGUGGUGUAGCGGUGAAAUGCGUAGAUAUCACGAAGAACUCCGAUUGCGAAGGCAGCUCACUGGACUGCAACUGACACUGAGGCUCGAAAGUGUGGGUAUCAAACAGGAUUAGAUACCCGGGUAGUC
RNAcentral lists this ribosomal RNA (460 nucleotides) under uncultured bacterium. RNAcentral describes it as "partial 16S ribosomal RNA". It matches the Rfam family "Bacterial small subunit ribosomal RNA", at positions 338 to 795 of the family's 1533-position model. The record is from RNAcentral.